UGACCGCUGGCGGCAGGCCUAACACAUGCACAUCGAACGGUAACAGGAAGCAGCUUGCUGCUUUGCUGACGAGUGGCGGACGGGUGAGUAAUGUCUGGGAAACUGCCUGAUGGAGGGGGAUAACUACUGGAAACGGUAGCUAAUACCGCAUAACGUCGCAAGACCAAAGAGGGGGACCUUCGGGCCUCUUGCCAUCGGAUGUGCCCAGAUGGGAUUAGCUAGUAGGUGGGGUAACGGCUCACCUAGGCGACGAUCCCUAGCUGGUCUGAGAGGAUGACCAGCCACACUGGAACUGAGACACGGUCCAGACUCCUACGGGAGGCAGCAGUGGGGAAUAUUGCACAAUGGGCGCAAGCCUGAUGCAGCCAUGCCGCGUGUAUGAAGAAGGCCUUCGGGUUGUAAAGUACUUUCAGCGGGGAGGAAGGGAGUAAAGUUAAUACCUUUGCUCAUUGACGUUACCCGCAGAAGAAGCACCGGCUAACUCCGUG
This 488-nucleotide ribosomal RNA is filed under the name uncultured bacterium. RNAcentral describes it as "partial 16S ribosomal RNA". It matches the Rfam family "Bacterial small subunit ribosomal RNA", at positions 30 to 507 of the family's 1533-position model. The record is from RNAcentral.